GGUAUUCUGGAGUCUUUCUUGAGUCCUGAAGGAAGGAGGAGGCUCUAAAGAGAAUUUCUCUGUUCUUUUUUACACAGCUAUCCUAUUAGUUGCUGAGUCCCACACAUAAAAUGCCGUGAAUUAGCUGCAACUGGUCUGGCCUGUGUCUAAGGUAAUUCCCAGUACCAGAGAGAGAAUAUCUGCUUCAUAAAUCUAGACUGUUUGGGGAUCAAAACUGAAGAGAGGAAUUUCUGCUAUUUUAAGGUUGUUCUGGCCUGCCUCCGCCCGUCAUCGCUAUUGAGAACCAGUCCCCACCUUAAACUCAAGAAUGUUGCAGACCUAACACGUCUGCUGAUCACAACUGCAGCAGUGUGGAACAGAGAAAGAAGUGGCCUCUCCCAGCCUAGAUCCCAGCCGAUGGCGGACUUUG
Molecule: long non-coding RNA, 409 nt
Filed under: Crocodylus porosus (Australian saltwater crocodile)
Lineage: Eukaryota; Metazoa; Chordata; Crocodylia; Crocodylidae
Description: lncRNA (ENSCPRG00005009614.1)
Source: RNAcentral